This 301-nucleotide ribosomal RNA is filed under the name uncultured bacterium. Its description in RNAcentral is "partial 16S ribosomal RNA". It matches the Rfam family "Bacterial small subunit ribosomal RNA", at positions 509 to 807 of the family's 1533-position model. The record is from RNAcentral.
CAGUAGCCGCGGUAAUACGAAGGGUGCAAGCGUUACUCGGAAUUACUGGGCGUAAAGCGUGCGUAGGUGGUGGUUUAAGUCCGUUGUGAAAGCCCUGGGCUCAACCUGGGAAUUGCAGUGGAUACUGGGUCACUAGAGUGUGGUAGAGGAUAGUGGAAUUUCCGGUGUAGCAGUGAAAUGCGUAGAAAUCGGAAGGAACAUCUGUGGCGAAGGCGACUAUCUGGGACAACACUGACGCUGAGGCACGAAAGCGUGGGGAGCAAACAGGAUUAGAUACCCCUGUAGUCCCUGUCUCUUAUAC